UUUGGUUGAAAAUAGAGUUCAAAUCUGAUUUGAAUUCGUGAUAAGAUCAAACCUGUUUGAACCUGAACAAAAAUGUUCAAACUCUAUCCUUAUCUUGAUGGGAUGCCCCCUUAAGAAGGGGUGAUUUUUUGUGCACCUCAUCAGAUGAUUUUUGGCAUGAGAAAACCUCAGAGGGGGCAUGAAAAAUCUAAGUGAGGGGUGGGCGUUCGUGCGUGAGAAAAUGAGGAAGAAAGUUCCUCUUUGGG
Molecule: long non-coding RNA, 245 nt
Filed under: Elaeis guineensis (African oil palm)
Lineage: Eukaryota; Viridiplantae; Streptophyta; Magnoliopsida; Arecales; Arecaceae
Description: long non-coding RNA (EGUI_LNC064720)
Source: RNAcentral